This is a long non-coding RNA of Dipodomys spectabilis (banner-tailed kangaroo rat), 104 nucleotides long. RefSeq lists it as uncharacterized. NCBI's taxonomy places the organism in Eukaryota, Metazoa, Chordata, Mammalia, Rodentia, Heteromyidae. The transcript is spliced from 4 exons. The record is from RefSeq and is a predicted model, not a curated record.
GAGAUCAAUUCAUUCUGACCCCUCAGAAUUUCAAUAGACUGAUUGGGGGGAGCUUCCUGACCUGCACUCGCAGGGGGGCCUCUGUGAGGGUGGCCCAGGCUGGG